AACGGGGGGGGCAAGUGUUCGGAAUUACUGGGCGUAAAGCGUGCGCAGGCGGCUUCUCAAGUCAGGGGUGAAAGCCCAGAGCUCAACUCUGGAACUGCCUUUGAGACUGAGAGGCUUGAGUACGGGAGAGGUGAGUGGAAUUCCCAGUGUAGAGGUGAAAUUCGUAGAUAUUGGGAAGAACACCGGUGGCGAAGGCGGCUCACUGGCCCGUAACUGACGCUCAUGCACGACAGCGUGGGGAUCAAACAGG
RNAcentral lists this ribosomal RNA (250 nucleotides) under uncultured bacterium. RNAcentral's name for it is "partial 16S ribosomal RNA". It matches the Rfam family "Bacterial small subunit ribosomal RNA", at positions 524 to 776 of the family's 1533-position model. The record is from RNAcentral.